Molecule: ribosomal RNA, 301 nt
Filed under: uncultured bacterium
Lineage: Bacteria
Description: partial 16S ribosomal RNA
Rfam family: Bacterial small subunit ribosomal RNA
Source: RNAcentral
CAGCAGCCGCGGUAAUACGAAGGGGGCUAGCGUUGUUCGGAUUAACUGGGCGUAAAGGGCGCGUAGGCGGGUCUUUAAGUCAGGGGUGAAAUCCCAAGGCUCAACCUUGGAACUGCCUUUGAUACUGGAGAUCUUGAGUCCGGGAGAGGUGAGUGGAACUGCGAGUGUAGAGGUGAAAUUCGUAGAUAUCCGCAAGAACACCAGUGGCGAAGGCGGCUCACUGGCCCGGUACUGACGCUGAGGCGCGAAAGCGUGGGGAGCAAACAGGAUUAGAUACCCCGGUAGUCCCUGUCUCUUAUAC